AACACUGUUAACCUGCGGUACCUGCGGAAGGAUCAUUAACGUAUCUAAGGCGCUCGGCCGCGUGCCCUGCUCCGGCCGAAAGGUCGUGCAGCGGGCCGAGGCAGACGCCUAACCUUCACAAACCCCACUGUGCACCUUCACGGCGGAGGCCGUCGGGCGAGAGCCUGUCGGUCGAAGCCGUCUCUACAAACACUAGUAUUAAGAAUGUCAAAGCGACCCAGUCGCCCAUUAAACAUAACA
RNAcentral lists this unclassified non-coding RNA (240 nucleotides) under soil metagenome. RNAcentral describes it as "partial contains 5.8S ribosomal RNA, internal transcribed spacer 2, and large subunit ribosomal RNA". The record is from RNAcentral.